UUGAACUCAAUUGGAAAGAGGAGUGGCGGACGGGUGAGUAACACGUGGGUAACCUACCCAUCAGAGGGGGAUAACACUUGGAAACAGGUGCUAAUACCGCAUAACAGUUUAUGCCGCAUGGCAUAAGAGUGAAAGGCGCUUUCGGGUGUCGCUGAUGGAUGGACCCGCGGUGCAUUAGCUAGUUGGUGAGGUAACGGCUCACCAAGGCCACGAUGCAUAGCCGACCUGAGAGGGUGAUCGGCCACACUGGGACUGAGACACGGCCCAGACUCCUACGGGAGGCAGCAGUAGGGAAUCUUCGGCAAUGGACGAAAGUCUGACCGAGCAACGCCGCGUGAGUGAAGAAGGUUUUCGGAUCGUAAAACUCUGUUGUUAGAGAAGAACAAGGACGUUAGUAACUGAACGUCCCCUGACGGUAUCUAACCAGAAAGCCACGGCUAACUACGUGCCAGCAGCCGCGGUAAUACGUAGGUGGCAAGCGUUGUCCGGAUUUAUUGGGCGUAAAGCGAGCGCAGGCGGUUUCUUAAGUCUGAUGUGAAAGCCCCCGGCUCAACCGGGGAGGGUCAUUGGAAACUGGGAGACUUGAGUGCAGAAGAGGAGAGUGGAAUUCCAUGUGUAGCGGUGAAAUGCGUAGAUAUAUGGAGGAACACCAGUGGCGAAG
This 661-nucleotide ribosomal RNA is filed under the name Enterococcus faecalis. Its description in RNAcentral is "bacterial SSU rRNA". It matches the Rfam family "Bacterial small subunit ribosomal RNA", at positions 76 to 720 of the family's 1533-position model. Lineage: Bacteria; Bacillati; Bacillota; Bacilli; Lactobacillales; Enterococcaceae. The record is from RNAcentral.